GGCAAGAUGGCCGAGUGGUUUUAAGGCGAUCGCUUGCUACGUGUUAGAGAGCGGUUGGGUUCUCCCGCGUGAGUUCGAAUCUCACUCUUGUCG
Trichosporon asahii var. asahii CBS 8904 is the source of this 93-nucleotide transfer RNA. It matches the Rfam family "tRNA". Rfam says of the family: Transfer RNA (tRNA) molecules are approximately 80 nucleotides in length. Their secondary structure includes four short double-helical elements and three loops (D, anti-codon, and T loops). Lineage: Eukaryota; Fungi; Basidiomycota; Tremellomycetes; Trichosporonales; Trichosporonaceae. The record is from Rfam.